Molecule: long non-coding RNA, 997 nt
Filed under: Actinidia chinensis (golden kiwifruit)
Lineage: Eukaryota; Viridiplantae; Streptophyta; Magnoliopsida; Ericales; Actinidiaceae
Description: long non-coding RNA (ACHI_LNC002924)
Source: RNAcentral
UUAUAUGUUGCAACUUUUUUCUAUUUAUUCCUGAACAUUACACGUAAUGAUUUUAACUUUUACCGAAAAUGAAAAGAAGUGAAUAUGUCGUGACUCGUGUGUGUAAAUGUUUCGUUCCCAUCCGUGAAUAUGUCCCAUACUCCCCUUCCCUGCCAUUAUUGUUUUCAGUGUAGAGAGAGUUUGUAAUUGGCAAAACAGUUAUAAAAAUUGGUGCACCUAGAAAUUAAUGCAUUUUGUAAUUUUUAGUUAAAUAUGUAGUAAUUAUGAUGAAAAAUGCUAAUUAUCACUUAAUGAGUCACUAAUGGGCAACAAGUACAUUGAUAAGUGGAAAAAAUAAAUAAAUAUCCGUUGAAGUACAUUAAAACAUGUGAAAAAUGUAUAAAUAUCCGUGAAAAGUGUUUAUUAAUCACCGUCCAAUGAGCUAGGCUUAGCUGGAUUUUUUUUUUUCUUCAGGAUGUCUUGUAUUUACUAGUUUUAACCGUCGGUCCAAACGAGCUGAACUUUGGUAACACUUUUUUAUUGGACAAAUAAGCUAAAUAUUUUGCCUUAACCGGCCACUCAACUCAUGCGCAAGUCAUAUACUCAUAUACUCGUACACUAGCAAGAAUUCGAACCUAAAUUUCACACACUGUACAAUUUGUUCAACCUUAAAACCAUCCUGCUAAUAAUUAUUGUACUUAAUUGCCGAAUGGCUGAACCAACCCCUUGCAUUAUCUACAUGUUAGCCAUUUGAUCAACUAACAGUGACAUAGGGGCAUUGUUCUCUGUUAGAGAAGGGAAGCUUUUGAAAGCAUGGGACAAUUGACAAGGUUAUCAAUUGACUGUUGGUUAAAUUAUUUUCCAUCUGAAUCGUACGUCUGGUUAAUUUCUUUGCAUAGGACGCAACGAGUGAGUCAAAAGCCUCAUAAGACCUGAUAUGGGAUGAAAUUAUUAUCCACAAAUUCUUGAAAUCCGCUAAAAUCUUUCUUGGAUGGGCUCUAAUUGUUGCUUUCAGUGG